GAUGAACGCUGGCGGCGUGCCUAAUACAUGCAAGUCGAGCGAACGGACGAGAAGCGUGCUUCUCUGAUGUUAGCGGCGGACGGGUGAGUAACACGUGCAUAACCUACCUAUAAGACUGGGAUAACUUCGGGAAACCGGAGCUAAUACCGGAUAAUAUUUUGAACCGCAUGGUUCAAAAGUGAAAGACGGUCUUGCUGUCACUUAUAGAUGGAUCCGCGCUGCAUUAGCUAGUUGGUAAGGUAACGGCUUACCAAGGCAACGAUGCAUAGCCGACCUGAGAGGGUGAUCGGCCACACUGGAACUGAGACACGGUCCAGACUCCUACGGGAGGCAGCAGUAGGGAAUCUUCCGCAAUGGGCGCAAGCCUGACGGAGCAACGCCGCGUGAGUGAUGAAGGUCUUCGGAUCGUAAAACUCUGUUAUUAGGGAAGAAAAUAUGUGUAAGUAACUGUGCACAUCUUGACGGUACCUAAUCAGAAAGCCACGGCUAACUUCGUG
This 497-nucleotide ribosomal RNA is filed under the name uncultured bacterium. Its description in RNAcentral is "partial 16S ribosomal RNA". It matches the Rfam family "Bacterial small subunit ribosomal RNA", at positions 28 to 507 of the family's 1533-position model. The record is from RNAcentral.